AUCAGUUUGGUUCAAAGUGAAUCAGACGUUCUGUUUGUAUUUGAUGAUAGAUCAAACUGAACUGUUUGGCUGUUUGGGUUCCAUCCAAACGGCCAAACGGCCCACCUCGAAGGUUGCUGUUUGAGGCACAUAAGAGUGUCAUGAAGUGCAGGGUGUGGUGGUGAGGCAGACGCUGUAGACACAGAUGCUGAGUCAGCUGUGUGGAGCAUUUAUUUGUUAUUUUUGCAGAUAUCUGAUGUUUCCUCAUUCAGCUCUUUGUUUACGCCUGUGAAGGAAGAGAUAAAUCUACAGGAUCUCUGUCUGGGGCUGUUUAGAUCAGGUCUCGUAUCUGCAUGCAGUGAACGAAUCAGCUGGUUACAAUUCAGUCAAACGGGUUUAACGGACCGUGGAGCCGGACUCCUUCAGCUGGGUCGGCUGAGAAGUGGCCCGACAGGUGAGAUUCUUUACAGUGUUGAUUUUGGCAGCAGCAGAGAGGAAAAAUGUUUGAGCUUUGAUCCGUGCAGACAACGUGCUGGAAACCCGCAGCUCUUAUUUGUUUUCAGUCUGCAGUGAUUGAUCGCUGACAGUUACAGUAAACGGAGAGGGCGGGGCUUACAGGAAGGGAUAAGAUAAAAAGAAUAUAGAAAAAAAGCAUAUUCAUCCAUUGUGUUUGUUCAAACAGGCUUGAUGUUCUGGAUGCUGAAGCUUCUGGGCCUAUAAUAAAUAAUUCAUAACAAAUAAUUAAUAAAUUAAUAAAUAAGCUGCAGGAUUUUCAUGGAUGCUUUUAUCAGGA
Gambusia affinis (western mosquitofish) is the source of this 772-nucleotide long non-coding RNA. RefSeq lists it as uncharacterized. The record is from RefSeq and is a predicted model, not a curated record. Lineage: Eukaryota; Metazoa; Chordata; Actinopteri; Cyprinodontiformes; Poeciliidae. The transcript has 3 exons.